GGCUGGUCCGAGUGCAGUGGUGUUUACAACUAAUUGAUCACAACCAGUUACAGAUUCCUUUGUUCCUUCUCCACUCCCACUGCUCCACUUGACCAGCCUUAA
Molecule: Y RNA, 102 nt
Filed under: Prolemur simus (greater bamboo lemur)
Lineage: Eukaryota; Metazoa; Chordata; Mammalia; Primates; Lemuridae
Description: Y RNA (ENSPSMG00000004207.1)
Rfam family: Y RNA
About the family: Y RNAs are components of the Ro ribonucleoprotein particle (Ro RNP), in association with Ro60 and La proteins. The Y RNAs and Ro60 and La proteins are well conserved, but the function of the Ro RNP is not known.
Source: Rfam by way of RNAcentral